GGAGACAGUGUGAAAGGUCUCUGGGACAACACCCACCCCUUACAAACAUGGGCUCCAUACUUCUAAGUACACUAUAGAGCAAUUCCAUACAUGACUUCCUGUCUAUCUACCCCAAUGCUUUCCUCUCAUUGCUGUUUCCUUAUUUUUAUUCAAUUCCUUCUCUUUUUAUUGUAUUUUUUUAGUUUUUCUUUCUUUCUUAAGAGUUUCUGGUAAGAAUAGGGUGAUAAGGGAACAUUUAAAGAAAAGUUAAAAGGAAAACACGUAUUUACAGGAAACUAAAAUCCUUCUAUGAAAAAGUUCUCUCCCUUACUUCUUCUAUUACUUAAACAGAUGGCACACAGUAGUUAAGAAAUCUGGAUCAAAAUCUCACAGUCUGUUUGGAUCACUGACCCAUUCAAAAUACAUAAUCCCUUACAAAAUAAAAUCUAAAGUUAAACGACUUCAGCGUAUUUUUUUUCUGGGUUUAUUUUCCCCAUUUAUGGAAGUGGUCUAAGCUACCUGAUAGCAAGGACUAUUUUACCUGUUAUAUUUGUAUUCACAUUCCCCUACUCACAUCACAUGUUAAAAAACUAAAGUUGAACUGAGCCAGGUGUACCUAAUAGUUUGUUGUGUGAAACUAUUUUGGAGAAAUAGUUUCAACCUCUUGACAAUGGGUUUAUACAGCUUCAAAAAUGAAUGAAAUAUCUCAAUCCAUAAACUUUAUGAGAUGUAUCAACAAAUAAAACUA
This 727-nucleotide long non-coding RNA is filed under the name Bos taurus (domestic cattle). RNAcentral's name for it is "long non-coding RNA NONBTAT001442". Lineage: Eukaryota; Metazoa; Chordata; Mammalia; Artiodactyla; Bovidae. The record is from RNAcentral.